Molecule: long non-coding RNA, 393 nt
Filed under: Rattus norvegicus (Norway rat)
Lineage: Eukaryota; Metazoa; Chordata; Mammalia; Rodentia; Muridae
Description: long non-coding RNA NONRATT011777
Source: RNAcentral
CCUGCACGUUGGGGGAGAGUCAGGUGUGGGUGCCAACCAUAGAACUGGAAGAUACCACUGGUCUCCUCAUUGGUUCCCAGGGUGAGCCCCAAGCUACCGGGCAGCCAUCUACCACUCCCUGCCAUGCUCUGCCCCCAGCAACUCUGCUCUGCACAGUCGGGGAGGCUGUACCUGGUAGCACCUGCCAUGCUCUGCCUGCCAAAGGCAUCCUGGCCUUCCCUAAAUUGGUGGCAUCAGUGAGUGAGUCUGGGUUGCAGGCCCAGUGUGGGAUGAAAUUCCACUGUCAGUUGUCUGGGGGGAUUUCUGGGCGCGCCCACUGCUGUGUCCAUCCUUGGGGGCCUACAGGGCUGGCCACAGAGUCUGGCUCCAGGACUAAAGAUGUGUGGACCAUGA